RNAcentral lists this unclassified non-coding RNA (539 nucleotides) under Hevea brasiliensis (rubber tree). The record is from RNAcentral. Lineage: Eukaryota; Viridiplantae; Streptophyta; Magnoliopsida; Malpighiales; Euphorbiaceae.
CAAGACUAAACCACCUUUACAGUUAAGGACACAAUAGAAGUUUCAUACAGCUGCACCAAUAUGAUGAAAAUUCCAAUGCAUCUUUCAUGCCCACAUCCAUUUGACAAACUUAAGUCACUUUAGGAAGACUUGCUGAGAACAGCAUUUAAUAGAUGGCAUGUCCUAUACUUGAAUGCCUUGACUGCUGCUUUGGCAAAAACUUGUGCUGCUUCCGCUUCAGCUUCUGCUGCUUCAGCCUCCCUUGCUGCCUCUUCAGCUUCUGCAAUUGCAGCUUCUGCCUCUGCAACUGCCUUCGCUGCAGCUGCAGCAGCCUCUAGGGCAGUCAUGCCCCUAAUCUUUGAUAGCUCUUGAUCAACCAGGGAUUUAGUCAGGAUUUUGGUGUUACUCUUCUCUGAUUUUGAAGAAUCCUUCUGCUUUCCCUCUGCAAGUAAGUGGGGCGUGUUUCUUCUUCCUUCAGAAACUGUUGAACUAGGUGCAAUCCUGUACUUAUGCUUUACCUUGACCAACUUUCCAUUUGCAGCCAGAAGCUUUAAUUUUCC